UCUGACCGAGCACGCCGCGUGAGUGAAGAAGGUUUUCGGAUCGUAAAACUCUGUUGUUAGAGAAGAACAAGGAUGAGAGUAACUGUUCAUCCCUUGACGGUAUCUAACCAGAAAGCCACGGCUAACUACGUGCCAGCAGCCGCGGUAAUACGUAGGUGGCAAGCGUUGUCCGGAUUUAUUGGGCGUAAAGCGAGCGCAGGCGGUUUCUUAAGUCUGAUGUGAAAGCCCCCGGCUCAACCGGGGAGGGUCAUUGGAAACUGGGAGACUUGAGUGCAGAAGAGGAGAGUGGAAUUCCAUGUGUAGCGGUGAAAUGCGUAGAUAUAUGGAGGAACACCAGUGGCGAAGGCGGCUCUCUGGUCUGUAACUGACGCUGAGGCUCGAAAGCGUGGGGAGCAAACAGGAUUAGAUACC
This 411-nucleotide ribosomal RNA is filed under the name Enterococcus faecium. RNAcentral describes it as "bacterial SSU rRNA". It matches the Rfam family "Bacterial small subunit ribosomal RNA", at positions 382 to 786 of the family's 1533-position model. Lineage: Bacteria; Bacillati; Bacillota; Bacilli; Lactobacillales; Enterococcaceae. The record is from RNAcentral.